CUCCAAUUCAUCACCCUCCAGCUCACCCAUGGCAUUUUGCGAUAUCCCUUUUCAAUUUCUUGUUUUUUUAAUUUUUUUUAUUAUUCAGCAUUUUUUGAGAAAACAGCAGAAUACAGUAUAUGAAAGCAAAGCCGAUGCAGGGAAAAAAAGAAAGGCGACAUACAUGAUACCUUAGCUGUUAAUUUACGGGAAUCCUUCCAUAGUCUAUAUCGUCUCCCUCAUGCCGAACCAGUUUUCCUUCCAGUCUUCUGGCCAUUUUAUAGUAAUUUGCU
Pelobates cultripes (western spadefoot toad) is the source of this 272-nucleotide non-coding RNA. The record is from the annotation of a GenBank genome assembly. NCBI's taxonomy places the organism in Eukaryota, Metazoa, Chordata, Amphibia, Anura, Pelobatidae.